CUAAAUUUUAAUUAUGUCAUAUACUUUUGUUCUUUUAUUUAUUUUUGUCAAUUUUUUGUCAUUAACAAUAAGUACUUUCAUCCCUGGGUCUAUAUUUUUCAAUUUUUGCCAUUAAUGAUAUCUUGAUUAAUAGUUAAAUUAAUAAAAAAAGUCACAGAUACCAAAUAGUUAAUGGAAUUAAAAUAUGAUAUACUAAAUCAUCUAUUUUUAAAAAAUACAAAGAUUAAAUCAUUAAUUUUAAUAAAAUCACAGGACUGAAUAGUUAUUAAUAUAAUAGCUUUGCCAUUUGGAAUGGUAUCAGGGAGCAGCAACAACAUGCUUUGUGGCAGUUCAUCCAAGUUUGAAAGGAGUCAGUGGAAAAUACUUUGCGGACUGCAAUGAGAUAAAGCCAAGCACAUUUGCUAGGGAUGAAUUACUAGCAAAAAGACUCUGGGAUUUCAGUAACGAUCUCAUUAGUUCUGCUUCAAAGCCUUAAUAUAUAUAUAUAUAUUAAUU
RNAcentral lists this unclassified non-coding RNA (495 nucleotides) under Hevea brasiliensis (rubber tree). The record is from RNAcentral. Lineage: Eukaryota; Viridiplantae; Streptophyta; Magnoliopsida; Malpighiales; Euphorbiaceae.